RNAcentral lists this ribosomal RNA (301 nucleotides) under Bacillus siamensis. Its description in RNAcentral is "bacterial LSU rRNA". It matches the Rfam family "Bacterial large subunit ribosomal RNA", at positions 1722 to 2021 of the family's 2925-position model. Lineage: Bacteria; Bacillati; Bacillota; Bacilli; Caryophanales; Bacillaceae. The record is from RNAcentral.
AUGACCCCGUAACUUCGGGAGAAGGGGUGCUCUGUUAGGGUGCAAGCCCGAGAGAGCCGCAGUGAAUAGGCCCAGGCGACUGUUUAGCAAAAACACAGGUCGCUGCGAAGCCGUAAGGCGAAGUAUAGGGGCUGACGCCUGCCCGGUGCUGGAAGGUUAAGAGGAGCGCUUAGCGUAAGCGAAGGUGCGAAUUGAAGCCCCAGUAAACGGCGGCCGUAACUAUAACGGUCCUAAGGUAGCGAAAUUCCUUGUCGGGUAAGUUCCGACCCGCACGAAAGGCGCAACGAUCUGGGCACUGUCU